CGUUUUGGCUGAAUUAGUGAUCGGCUAAAGCAUCUUUUAAAUUUAUUUUUGGAGUCAUUAUGUCACUAAGUACUCAACAAAAAGCUGAAAUUCUAGCUAAAUUCGCACGCGCUGAA
Non-coding RNA from Pseudoalteromonas tunicata D2, 116 nucleotides. The record is from Rfam. Lineage: Bacteria; Pseudomonadati; Pseudomonadota; Gammaproteobacteria; Alteromonadales; Pseudoalteromonadaceae.